This is a long non-coding RNA of Aethalodelphis obliquidens (Pacific white-sided dolphin), 569 nucleotides long. RefSeq lists it as uncharacterized. The record is from RefSeq and is a predicted model, not a curated record. The transcript is spliced from 3 exons. NCBI's taxonomy places the organism in Eukaryota, Metazoa, Chordata, Mammalia, Artiodactyla, Delphinidae.
CUCCCAGCCCCGCCCGCCCCGGCGGGUGAGCAGACAAGCCUCUCGAGCUGUUCGCAGUCUGGGCAGCAGGAACGAGAAUGCUCUGUUCCCCACGUCAUCAUUAGAAGGGGAUAUUUACUACUUCUCCUCUUGUUUGCCGACCUGUCAUAAUCACCACAUUCUAAGGACUCUAAAACGUGUCCAAACAAAAAAGAAUAAAAGCAAGUAUUUGACAUCUACAGCAUGAGAGAAGAGGCUUUGUAACAAACUGAAAACAUUUCCUGCUGGUAAAGAUGGGACAAUAAGAACAAAACUACUUUACCAAAAACUGGUUCUCAUAUUUUGACUUGACAGUUAAGGAAUGCUGAAUUAAGUAACAACAAAUCACCUGAAAAUGUGAGUGAAGCAAUGACAGAAAAUUAUCUCAUAAUAAAUUUUCUAAAUUUAUUAAGAGACGUCAUUAUUUUAAUAUAAUCUCUGGUGCAAAUUUUAAAGUGAUUGAUUUAACAGCCUGUACUCUAAAGUAUACACAAAUGUGGAUUUGUCCUGGAAGUAUAAAACACUCUGGCUUAUUUAUUAGGCUGGCCUAA